CGGCUUCUCGGCGCCAUUUUGUCCCGGCAGCGGUGGCCGCAGCUCUACCGCAUAUUAUAUUUCUAGCAUGAAGGAAGCCGAGUCGUUGUCCGGCCGAUCUAUCUUAGUGCGGAAUCCAUCCACAGCUUGCUCCAGUCCAGCACCUCGUGAAGUUCAGAAGAGUCGCGGAGCUGUCGGGAAGGUCGAUCGGAGGCUGUGUUCGACUGACGGGUGGGGGGGCGCUGCUCUGGAGGCUUCGGCACCGGAAGUGGAGGCGCCGCCUGCAGGCCUGAUGGGAUCCUGACUGUUCAUCUGACUGGCCUGGAAUGAAGCAGUUCUGCCUUACUUCCUAAUAAGACUGAUUUUGUGAGAAAAUGAGGCGCGAUGUUCCAGUUGUAAAGAUGUGGAUAUGCUUUCUUUGUUGAAAAUUUCUGUCAAGUAAGAAAUCCCCGAACAUGAAUGAAGAGUAAAUUUCUUCCUCAUUAGGGCCUUGGCUCAGUCCACCUUCAUGUUGAAAAAUUCUCUUCUAAUACUUGAGUUGCUGUAUUUGGAGAGCUGAUACUAAAUUUGAUAACUCAGAAUUGGUUCCACUACCAAAAAAUGAGGACCAAGUGAGUUGUUUGGGCUGGAAGGUGCAGCACAUCAUGGCAUUUGUGGUAGAAAUACAAGCAAAUGGAUGAUUCUUACCAGAUAAGUGCUUUUGUACUCUAAAAAUUCAUUUUAUGUGGAGCAGUGAAAGCAAAACUUUUUUAAACUUUUUUUUCUUUUUUUUUAGGUAGCAGGCUCAAGAUGACUUCUGGAGUAAUAAGGUAAUCUUAGUUUUACAAUAAAUUUUAUGUUAAAGUGUAAAUCUACCUGUAUCUAGCUUAAUCUUGUGUAUAUAUUACAUCAAUACAUAAUUCUUUUUCUAAGAGCUGUAUGGAGCUAGGUAUAGCUUAGUUUUACAUUUAUGGGGUAUUACACAGCAUCUACAGUAGCUAUAAUUGGCUUAGCUGCUCAAAGUUAGGAUUUAGAAUCAGGCUUUGUUGUUUUCUUUUGAGACAUGGGUGUCACUAUGUAGUUCAGCCUAUCAUUGAACUCUCACUGUGUAGCCCAGGCUGGCCUGGAACCCUCAGCAGUUCCCCUACUUCAACCCCAGGGGCUGGGAUUAUAGGUGUGUGCCAUCUGAUUUUUGAAGUUAUUAGCUAUAGUGAUAGAAAUUUAAGAAUAGUUACACUGGAGCACAGUUAUAGAUGAUUUAUGUAUUAGUCAUACUUUGGAACUUCGGAGAAAUAUAGAACUGACCAUAGGCUAGCUUAGGCAUACUGGUCUUCUGUCUGAAAAUUUAGUUGUAAUACUAAUUUAAAGUUGUAUCAAGGGCUGGGGAGAUAGCUCAGUAGAAUAAGUGCUUGCCUGGCGAGUUCCGGAUCAUGA
Octodon degus (degu) is the source of this 1392-nucleotide long non-coding RNA. RefSeq lists it as uncharacterized. The record is from RefSeq and is a predicted model, not a curated record. NCBI's taxonomy places the organism in Eukaryota, Metazoa, Chordata, Mammalia, Rodentia, Octodontidae. The transcript has 6 exons.